CAUAAAAGUAAAUUGGGCAUUAAAUAAAAAACACAAUCAUCAAUUUAUUCUCGGUUUAUUUCAUUUGUAGUAGACAUUUCGUAGUAGUCUCAGUUAGAAGGCAUAGUAAAAUAGAUCGUCAAAAUUAAAUUAAGAAUAACCUGUGACUACUAGUAAUAGUAUUAUAUUAUGGCAGUGCAAUAGUCUCAUGCAGGAAUAUUAACCCAAGUAAAAUAGAUAAGUUUGUAAAUUUAAC
RNAcentral lists this long non-coding RNA (235 nucleotides) under Mytilus galloprovincialis (Mediterranean mussel). The record is from RNAcentral. Lineage: Eukaryota; Metazoa; Mollusca; Bivalvia; Mytilida; Mytilidae.